Molecule: non-coding RNA, 72 nt
Organism: Pangasius djambal
Lineage: Eukaryota; Metazoa; Chordata; Actinopteri; Siluriformes; Pangasiidae
Source: the annotation of a GenBank genome assembly
UCCCUGGUGGACUAGUGGCUAGCAUGUGGCGCCCUGAUCGCCACAGUGUGGGUUUGAUUCCUGGUCAGGGAA